AAGAACGCUGGCGGCAGGCCUAAGACAUGCAAGUCGUACGCGAACGACCUUUCGGGGUUAAGUAGAGUGGCGAACGGGUUAGUAACGCGUGGGAACAUACACAGCACAGGGGGAUAACCAUUGGAAACGAUGGCUAAUACCGCAUACGCCCUAAUGGGGGAAGAUUUAUCGGUGUUGGAUUGGCCCGCGUCAGAUUAGCUAGUUGGUGGGGUAAUGGCUCACCAAGGCGACGAUUUAUAGCUGGUUUGAGAGGAUGAUCAGCAACACUGGAACUGAGACACGGUCCAGACUCCUACGGGAGGCAGCAGUCGGGAAUAUUGUGCAAUGGGGGCAACCCUGACACAGCCAUGCCGCGUGAGUGAAGAAGGCCUUAGGGUUGUAAAGCUCUUUCAGAUGUGAGGAUGAUGACGAUAGCAUCAGAAGAAGCUCCGGCUAACUUCGUGCCAGCAGCCGCGGUAAUACGAAGGGAGCUAGCGUUGUUCGGAAUUACU
This 491-nucleotide ribosomal RNA is filed under the name uncultured bacterium. RNAcentral describes it as "bacterial SSU rRNA". It matches the Rfam family "Bacterial small subunit ribosomal RNA", at positions 29 to 555 of the family's 1533-position model. The record is from RNAcentral.